UCCAGGGUGUGGGAAGCGAACUGCUUUGCAGAGCCAGGACAGAGGGCAGGAGUGAUUAACCGAACAAGCCUGAUGACGCGCGGAUCCCGAGGACACCACCCACUGGCUCCCUAUUCUCUCUGACCCUCCUCCCUCCUCCCCUCCACGUCCAGUCUCCUAGCUGGCAGGUUGUGACAAUGGAAACCCUCAAGUACUUCUAUAGCCCGUGACUCACUCCUGGGAUACCCAAGUCCCCCAACAAACCAGCCAGUAAAAAAUGGUUUCUGAUCCACUUCAGCGACGUGUCGGGUAUGGUAGGUGACAGGUACUGCAGUGUGAUUGGUGCCUGGGCCAACCUGAGUUUUAGUGGUUUUCAAGCACAUCACAACCCCCGGCACCCUCACCGCUUAUUUGCUUCACAUUUCCCCAGCUGUGGAGAAAGACCUGUUUGUGCUGCCCUCAAACAAGAUCCCCUGGGAAACUUAGGCCAACAGCUCAAGAGAUGACCGUGCCGGUACCCACAUUGGUGCGGGUCUUGGGGAAGCGGCUUCGCAGGCUUCCACAGAUGCCAACCUGCUAACGGGGCUCCAGUUCCCAGAUGUGAGAUGACAAAGGUGAAGAUCUUCCAACUCCAGGAAUCCUGGCCAUUCCCCUCACCAGCAACUUCUUGAGCUCAAAGGCUCUGACCUGGACUCCAAGAUAAAUAUUUAAUGUAGACGGUGCUGCUGAGCUGUGAAAGGUCCCAGCUUCCUGUUUCUCACAAGAGAAGGCACAGCCUGGGCAAGGAGCUGAAGCCUGGCUACCAGUCCCAUCUCUAUGGAAAUGGGAGUCCGACCUGAACGGAGUAGCCAAGAAUACGGAGACUGUUCUGGAGGGGACAAGUAACCCAACAGCAAGGAACUGAAGCCAAGUCACCACCGAUAUACCGGCACAGACCUCUCGACUCUGUUUCCUCCCUGGGGCCAUCUCCUGACUUCAGCUCCUGCUGUACUGCCAACUAAGCUCUAUCAAUGGCCCCACGUAUGCCAGCUACUCACAGGAAUAGGGGCAAGCGAGGGAAAAAAGUGGAGUGACCCAUUUUGGGGCUCCAAGGGAUCUCUUGUGCACCGCCCUAUCUGGAAGUCUGAAUUUGUUUGGUUUGGUCACUGCAAAGUGAAGGAACUCUGGGGGUUGGGGACCUGGGGGAGACAAUAAGAAAAAACACAGUGCAGGUCAAGGAUGGUCAAUGUCAGACCUGGUAGCCAGGAUAGGUAUGUAAAGCCCACAGAAACAAGAUCUCAGUCCUACUUUGCAUUAAAUAUUUUCAUAGCACACAUAUCAGAAGCACCUCCUGGCUCUCAGCAUCUAAACCCCAAAGGCUAUGAAAAGAAUCAGUUCCUGCCAAGUUUAUCCAGCCUGUUCUCCAGGAGGCCCCAGCACUGACUAACAUCAUACCCAUCAUGCAUUGCUUUUCACGGGUGAACAAACAGAUGCCAUGGGCAGACAGGAUGCCUCUGAGAAGGACCAAGCUAGACAGGCUUCCUUCAGUUCUUACAAAGGAUGAAAGGAACAAGUAGCUGUCAGCCCUUGAGAAAACAGACUUCACAGGAGAGGAUAAAUGAAUGAUGACCUCAGAGGGAAUGCAAGCCAAGUUAGAUCAGCCACAGACAAGGCCACAGAACCAGGGGCUAAAAAAUUAGGUCUGCCUCAGCCUUCCAUCUCAGCUCAGGUAAGCUGAGAUAAGGGAGACAGAGAGGGUUGACUGGCUGCCCAGAGGAGACCAUGAGGUAGAACACUAGUAUCCAAACAAAGGCUAACCUGUCUUUCUGCCUCCUUGAAUUCUAGGGUGAACUGUCUCUACUGCAUCAUCACGAAGACUUGAUUUACCUCUAAGUGUCAAAUCCACUGUCCAGAGUAAGCAGAUUUUUAAAUAAAAUCUUAGAGGAAAAGCAAGAAGCAGGACGACGAGGAGCAGGAGGAAAGCCAUCUUUGCUCAGAGCAGACUACAAAGUAGGGAUUAGAUCCUGAUCUAGCAGGGGUCACUGUGACUCAGUGUUUCAUCCUUCUUUCCUAGGCUCUUGAGCAGCUUCCCACGACCCUGUAAAUGAGAGCAAACAUUACCUCAUCUCAUUAGGACUUUAGCUAAGGGAUAAGGCCACUGUUAACUCAGGCUGUCACUGGGAUAACAGAACAUAAAAUGCUCACUUGGCUUUUGUGCAGCUAAAAAUCUGGGCUCAUUUUUCUGGUCUGCAAAAUUGCACAGGGUGGCUCUAUUUGAUGUCAACGUUGCUAUUUGGGUCCAGCAGAUCUAGAUUUAGUCUUUCCACCUCUGUUGUCAUAAUCUGUCCAAGUCCCUCUCCAGGGCCCCAGCCUUUCCCUAUCUCCACCCCCAUGCUGUAGAGUGAUGCUUAUCUGCUCUUGUGAAUUCCCAGCCCCUUGGGAUCUAUCUGCUUUUCAGAGGACUCCAAGCUGCUCCGGUACUUCUAAGCUUGAUAGUAUGAUUCUGCAUCGACUCCCUCUGGCUUCUCACUUUUCUCAGGCUAUCUAUGGUCAUAUGCAAACUUAUUAAAUGACCACAAAACAUACUUUUGUGCUUAGUAAAUACUAUAUUUUCUGAGUUAUCGUUCUUCUUUUUCCCUCAAGGAGGGGCCUCUGCUAGAGAGGCCACAGAGGAUCAGGGGCUAGAAAAGAAGUUAGUGGUGGGCAUAACUCCAAGAAGAGGCAAGAGGCUCUUUUCUGGGGGGAAAGCGGAAACUCAGAAGAAACCAUUAAAUCAGAAACUAUGGCUGGAGGAUCCUUUCUUGAAAAGGGACUUCACUGGCAUUGUCAGAGAUCAGACAAGACAUCAGAAACCAGGCUUUCCCUCAACUCUGGAAUUUAACUGGGUCAGGGCCAAAUGAUCAGUCCCUCUACUGAGGAAAUAGACACAGG
Psammomys obesus (fat sand rat) is the source of this 2889-nucleotide long non-coding RNA. RefSeq lists it as uncharacterized. Lineage: Eukaryota; Metazoa; Chordata; Mammalia; Rodentia; Muridae. The record is from RefSeq and is a predicted model, not a curated record. The transcript has 4 exons.